Molecule: ribosomal RNA, 496 nt
Filed under: uncultured bacterium
Lineage: Bacteria
Description: partial 16S ribosomal RNA
Rfam family: Bacterial small subunit ribosomal RNA
Source: RNAcentral
GAUGAACGCUGGCGGCGUGCCUAAUACAUGCAAGUCGAGCGAACAGACGAGGAGCUUGCUCCUCUGACGUUAGCGGCGGACGGGUGAGUAACACGUGGAUAACCUACCUAUAAGACUGGGAUAACUUCGGGAAACCGGAGCUAAUACCGGAUAAUAUAUUGAACCGCAUGGUUCAAUAGUGAAAGACGGUUUUGCUGUUACUUAUAGAUGGACCCGCGCCGCAUUAGCUAGUUGGUAAGGUAACGGCUUACCAAGGCGACGAUGCGUAGCCGACCUGAGAGGGUGAUCGCCAACACUGGAACUGAGACACGGUCCAGACUCCUACGGGAGGCAGAAGUGGGAAAUCUUGCGCAAGGGGGGAAAGCCUGACGAGGCAACGCGGGGUGGGGGAGGAGGGUCUUCGGAUCGUAAAACUCUGUUAUUAGGAAGAAACAAAUGUGUAAGUAACUAUGCACGUCUUGACGGUACCUAAUCAGAAAGCCACGGCUAACUACGG